This 73-nucleotide transfer RNA is filed under the name Candidatus Lernaella stagnicola. Its description in RNAcentral is "tRNA-Met". It matches the Rfam family "tRNA". Rfam says of the family: Transfer RNA (tRNA) molecules are approximately 80 nucleotides in length. Their secondary structure includes four short double-helical elements and three loops (D, anti-codon, and T loops). Lineage: Bacteria; Candidatus Lernaellota; Candidatus Lernaellaia; Candidatus Lernaellales; Candidatus Lernaellaceae. The record is from RNAcentral.
GGCAGCGUAGCUCAGGAGGUAGAGCAAGCGGCUCAUAUCCGCUGUGUCAGGGGUUCGAGUCCCUUCGCUGCCA